GUGCAGCAGGCGAGAAUACUGUGCAAUGCGCGAAAGCGCGACACGGGGAACCUGAGUGCCUUGACACAGUCAAGGCUUUUAUCAAGCCUAAAAAGCUUGAUGAAUAAGAGCUGGGUAAGACGGGUGCCAGCCGCCGCGGUAACACCCGCAGCUCUAGUGGUGGUCACUUUUAUUGAGCCUAAAGCGUUCGUAGCCGGUUCUGUAAAUCUUCAGAUAAAUUCAUUCGCUCAACGGAUGAUCUUCUGAAGAGACUGUAGAACUUGGGACCGGGUGAGGUUGAAUGUACUUCUGGGGUAGGGGUAAAAUCCUGUAAUCCUAGAAGGACAACCGGUGGCGAAGGCGUUCAACUAGGACGGAUCCGACGGUGAGGAACGAAGGCUAGGGGAGCAAACCGGAUUAGAUACCCCUGUAGUCC
Molecule: ribosomal RNA, 415 nt
Filed under: uncultured bacterium
Lineage: Bacteria
Description: bacterial SSU rRNA
Rfam family: Archaeal small subunit ribosomal RNA
Source: RNAcentral